This 253-nucleotide ribosomal RNA is filed under the name uncultured bacterium. Its description in RNAcentral is "partial 16S ribosomal RNA". It matches the Rfam family "Bacterial small subunit ribosomal RNA", at positions 524 to 776 of the family's 1533-position model. The record is from RNAcentral.
UACGUAGGGUGCGAGCGUUAAUCGGAAUUACUGGGCGUAAAGCGUGCGCAGGCGGCGCGUUAAGACAGGUGUGAAAGCCCCGAGCUUAACUUGGGAAUUGCGCUUGUGACUGGCGUGCUGGAGUGUGGCAGAGGGAAGCGGAAUUUCCGGUGUAGCGGUGAAAUGCGUAGAUAUCGGAAGGAACACCAGUGGCGAAAGCGGCUUCCUGGUCCAGCACCGACGUUCAGGCACGAAAGCGUGGGGAGCAAACAGG